UUUUACGGAGUUGAACGUCAUGAAUAUAUCUCACUUGUUUUGCCUAUUAUCACUACUAUUAUUGUUUAGUGUUUCUUCAUAUGUGCAUAUCAUUAUUAAGUUUAUUCAUAUCAUUAUAUCAAUAUACAAUUCUGAUAAUGCAUAAGUUCAUAAAACUGCAAUGUUAUGCCUGCAAUGGUAGUUAAUGUGUGCACCUGUAUUGUUUCCUAUCUCCAC
This 216-nucleotide long non-coding RNA is filed under the name Nicotiana benthamiana. Its description in RNAcentral is "long non-coding RNA (NBEN_LNC030259)". Lineage: Eukaryota; Viridiplantae; Streptophyta; Magnoliopsida; Solanales; Solanaceae. The record is from RNAcentral.